GCCGACCUGGGAUUGGCGAGCCGGAGACCCGUCCGGCCGAGGCCCCCGGGCGGGGCCUCCCGCGGCCCCGCCACCGGCUUCCCAGGGCGGGGCCCCCGCGAAGACCCCCGCGGAGCUCCGGCGGCGGCCCCGCCCCGGCUCUGACAGACGGCGGGGAGGCGCUUCCUGCUGGUGCUGCCCCCCCGCGCCAGCCCCGGCCCUCCGGACGCCCGGCUGCGGCGCGGGGGGGGGGGCGUCCUCUUGGCCCGCGCGUCCCAAGAAGCUCUAGCGAAGGUCGGCGCCGGCCCUUCUUAGGACGAGGUCUCCGACUGUAGGGCGGGAUGGUUUGCCAUCACCUUCCCCAGCCAUCGCCUUCCCCAGCAAGCCGGGUGCUCAUUUCACCAACCUCGGAAGGAUGGGAGGCUGAGUCAACCUGAGCCAGCCACUCGAGGCUCCAGCUUCCGCUGCCACAACUCCAGGUAAAGUUUUCUGUUUCUUUCCUCCUCUUAAUUUGUACAAUUUCCCAAAUUCUAUCCUGAAUACUCUGACUACCCUCCCUGAAUACUCUGACUCCAUUUUCUCCUACAAGGCACCCAUAGGCAAUCCCAACUUCUUGACAAGUUUCUCCAUCACUUCACAAUACACCAAAGCCAUUUCCCCUCCUCAGGGUUCGCCAGUGGGGCUGUCACCUGGGACGCAGGUGGUGACAAAGCACCCUUUUGCUGGGCAUCCCCAAAUUUCCACAAAGGCAUAAUUGAUCACUCAAAUAAUAAAUUCAAAGGGUCCAAACCGUGUAUUCCACUGCUGACACCAAUAAAAACGUUACACACACAACACAAGCUGCUCUCAAAGUUUGGCUUAUGGUCACUCACUCACACUCUUGCAGCCUGUGGAGGCAGGCGGAUCUCGUCAGCCCCCCUGGCUUUCUACCUGGGUUUUCCAGAGAGGUGCAGCUUGAGCAGACAAGGCACACAGCCCUGGUCAACAGCUGGGAAGAAAUUAGGGACACACACAAAGAACUUUCAACCAAACACUGAGGCACAACAGGUUCUUUGGAAUACACGGAGACCCAGUGAAUUUAAAGGAACAGCAAAACUUUACUGGUUGCAAGGUAUAUUUGCUCUUUCUCACACGCGCACACACACACUCAUCCACACUUACCCACGCCCUUCCAACUAGGCUGCCAGGCACUAGACAGAGGGACGGAAGCCGCCAAGUCUGGAUCCAAAGAUGACGCAAGGAGUGGACAGGCUCUGGACCCCUUUUAUCCCCAAAAGUCCUUGCUCUGUUGAUGGGAUUGGGGUGGGAGUUUCCAUUUGUUCAGGCCCUUUGAUGUCUUUGUACAGUUCAGGUGACAUUCUUUUUUUCCUUUACAACUUGCCUCCUCCUUGUCUAACCUUAAGGGAUCUUUUAGACAACUUUAGACAAGAAUCCUCCCUGCUUUACCUACCUGCUUUGUUAUGCAGUUUCAGCCUAGUCUUACACUCCGGGAUCUUAGCCCCAAUCCCUGCACCUCCAGAAGGCAAUCAUGGGAGGCAAACUGAAUCCCCCUUGCAGUGUGCAGGAGUCUUAGCUCCAGGGGGCUCAUUGGCCACCGUUUCCACUUGUGACUGCAAAUGUGCAGAGCACAGUGCCAGAUAGAGCCUCCUGUCUUGUCUUCAAACGCUCAUGAGGUUUGUGCAGGUACUUGAAUGCCGGUUGACAUUGGCAAGAAAUACUGUCCAGCAACUUGUUUUCAGCUUUGCCUCCCUUUAGAAACAUAAUUGAAAAGAUGGAAAGAGACAUUAGAGGAGUUGAUUAAAUGGCCCAACUCAAUUGGAUCUAAUCAGCAAGCAAGAGCAAGACGUACUCCUGAUCGGGGGCUGUCCAGCCCCUGCUGAAGGCAUCUAAGGACUGUUCUUGAGGUCGUUGGCUCCUCUUUCAACCUCACUUCCUGUUACAAAACUUUGCCUAACGUUCAAGUGAAAUCAGCUUUUCCAGGGACCAUCCACAUGUCCUGCUUGAACUGCACAAAGACACCCCACCAAUCAUUUGUGGAGGAGGUGUCCUCACAGCAUUGAUCCCAUCUCACUGCUGAUAAGCAAUGGAUCGUGCAUCUCUCUCUCAAGGUCGACUUCCUUACUCUCUACAAGGCUGGAAACUGGAUGAAAAUUGUCUAGUUCUGUUUGAUACAACGAGGGCUUCCUGAGGAGAUGAUGCACUACUGACUCCUUCAGAGCUGGCAGAACCAGUCCCCUGUCAAGGAUACAUUCACUGCCACAUGGACCCAACCCAGGAGGCCUUCGCCAACCGUGAGGGGCAUGGAUGUCAAGCACGGGUGGCGGCACUGACAGCCACAAGGACUCCAUCCACUUCCUCAGGACUAACAGACUCAAACUGUGCAACUGGUGCCCAACUCAGUUGUAUUUUUCUUCUGUGCUUUUGCUUAUUAUGCACCAUCCAGAGUCCUAAUGAAGUGGUAUACAAAUAUUGUAAAUAGAUAAAGUAAGUUUUAAAAAGAUUGUCCUUGGGUCAACGAA
Molecule: long non-coding RNA, 2498 nt
Organism: Candoia aspera
Lineage: Eukaryota; Metazoa; Chordata; Lepidosauria; Squamata; Candoiidae
Exons: 3
Source: RefSeq, a predicted model, not a curated record